Molecule: ribosomal RNA, 1168 nt
Filed under: uncultured Allomonas sp.
Lineage: Bacteria; Pseudomonadati; Pseudomonadota; Gammaproteobacteria; Vibrionales; Vibrionaceae
Description: bacterial SSU rRNA
Rfam family: Bacterial small subunit ribosomal RNA
Source: RNAcentral
GAAUUGGGUACGGGGGGGGUCUCUAGAGAUUAGAGUUUGAUCCUGGCUCAGAUUGAACGCUGGCGGCAGGCUUAACACAUGCAAGUCGAGCGGUAACAGAGAGAAGCUUGCUUCUCUGCUGACGAGCGGCGGACGGGUGAGUAAUGCUUGGGUAUCUGCCUUAUGGAGGGGGACAACAGUUGGAAACGACUGCUAAUACCGCAUAAUAGCUUCGGCUCAAAGAGGGGGACCUUCGGGCCUCUCGCGUCAGGAUAUGCCCAGGUGGGAUUAGCUAGUUGGUGAGGUAAUGGCUCACCAAGGCGACGAUCCCUAGCUGGUCUGAGAGGAUGAUCAGCCACACUGGAACUGAGACACGGUCCAGACUCCUACGGGAGGCAGCAGUGGGGAAUAUUGCACAAUGGGCGCAAGCCUGAUGCAGCCAUGCCGCGUGUAUGAAGAAGGCCUUCGGGUUGUAAAGUACUUUCAGCAGUGAGGAAGGUGGAUAUGUUAAUAGCAUAUUCAUUUGACGUUAGCUGCAGAAGAAGCACCGGCUAACUCCGUGCCAGCAGCCGCGGUAAUACGGAGGGUGCGAGCGUUAAUCGGAAUUACUGGGCGUAAAGCGCAUGCAGGUGGUUUGUUAAGUCAGAUGUGAAAGCCCGGGGCUCAACCUCGGAAUUGCGUUUGAAACUGGCAAACUAGAGUACUGUAGAGGGGGGUAGAAUUUCAGGUGUAGCGGUGAAAUGCGUAGGGAUCUGAAGGAAUACCGGUGGCGAAGGCGACCACCUGGCCAAUAACUGACACUGAGACGCGAAGGCGUGGGUAGCAAACAGGAUUAGAUACCCUGGUAGUCCACGCCGUAAACGAUGUCUACUUGGAGGUUGUGGCCUUGAGCCGUGGCUUUCGGAGCUAACGCGUUAAGUAGACCGCCUGGGGAGUACGGUCGCAAGAUUAAAACUCAAAUGAAUUGACGGGGGCCCGCACAAGCGGUGGAGCAUGUGGUUUAAUUUCGAUGCAACGCGAAGAACCCUUACCUACUCUUGACAUCUACAGAAGCCAGCGGGAGACGCAGGUGGUGCCUUCGGGAACUGUAAGACAGUGCUGCUUGCUGUCGUCAGCUCGUGUUGUGAAUUGUUGGGUUAAGUCCCCGCACGAGCGCAACCCUUUAUCCCUUGUUUGCCAGCACCUUCGG